GACGAAGGUCCCGAGCGUUGUUCGGAAUCACUGGGCGUAAAGGGAGCGUAGGCGGCGUGGUAAGUCAGAUGUGAAAUCCCGAGGCUCAACCUCGGAACUGCGUCUGAAACUACUCGGCUAGAGUAUUGGAGAGGGUAACGGAAUUCACGGUGUAGCAGUGAAAUGCGUAGAUAUCGUGAGGAACACCAGAGGCGAAGGCGGUUACCUGGACAAUUACUGACGCUCAGGCACGAAAGCGUGGGGAGCAAAAGGG
Molecule: ribosomal RNA, 253 nt
Filed under: uncultured bacterium
Lineage: Bacteria
Description: partial 16S ribosomal RNA
Rfam family: Bacterial small subunit ribosomal RNA
Source: RNAcentral